GCCUGACUCAAAAUGCUGAAUGCUACAAACAGUGGGAAAAAAUGCACUUGGAGAAUCUGGAUGCAAGUGUUGCUGUUCUUCAGAGAAUGACUGAUCAGUGGAAGGAAUACUCCACUAAACUCGCUCCCCUAGAUUCUUUGAGGGAAACGGUGAAGCACUUGAGGGCAAAGAACGAAGAAUCCCUAUCUGCUGCAGGGGAUGGCGACCAAGUGUCAUCCAUUAAAGAUGCGGACAAAUACUGUAAGGUGUUGCAGGGGAGAUUAAAUCGUGGUUCGAGCUGCCUGAAGAGCG
This 291-nucleotide unclassified non-coding RNA is filed under the name Hevea brasiliensis (rubber tree). The record is from RNAcentral. Lineage: Eukaryota; Viridiplantae; Streptophyta; Magnoliopsida; Malpighiales; Euphorbiaceae.